This 300-nucleotide long non-coding RNA is filed under the name Homo sapiens (human). Its description in RNAcentral is "HSALNT0256735". Lineage: Eukaryota; Metazoa; Chordata; Mammalia; Primates; Hominidae. The record is from RNAcentral.
UGCGCUCCCACCCCUCCUCCCGGUCUUCACUGAAGCUCCUUUCAGCGAAGGUAGGAGUGGGCUGGACGGCCAGGAACUCAGAGCUGCUGUAGACCUGGGAGGCAAGACAAAAGAAUGUGGCUCCCCUCGGGACCCGGGCCCACCUUGCUGAACCGGUGGGAGCAGGAGGAGAACUGGGGGAUCUCUGUGGACGAUUCUUCAUCAUUGGUCUCGUCGUCCUCGGAGCCCAGAUGGCGGUAACGUUCCGAGACUCGUGAAACUGCACCAUCUCUGAGCCAUGGAUAAGAUGAACUUUGUGGA